Dreissena polymorpha is the source of this 8518-nucleotide RNA transcript. RefSeq lists it as uncharacterized. The transcript has 5 exons. NCBI's taxonomy places the organism in Eukaryota, Metazoa, Mollusca, Bivalvia, Myida, Dreissenidae. The record is from RefSeq and is a predicted model, not a curated record.
UAAUGGUAAGGAUAAUUCAUCACUGGGAAGGGAUAUCCACUCUUUUAUAUUAUCUAUCCAACUUUUCUUCUGACAGCCACGAUGUCGACCUCUAUCUGGCGUGCCCUGGAGAACAGUCUUGCACAUAGAGUCGUGCCUGGUGACGUGUCAAAACCAAGCCAACUUUCGUCGUUUGACGGUCGCCAAUAGGAGUUCUUGUGGACAAACAAGUGUUGCAGUCAUUUUCCGGACGUACUCGUUGGUCUUGUGCUCCGUAUAGGAGAUGCGGAGCAGUCUUCGGGGACACAAAUGUUAAAAUGCCUGUAUUUUGCGUUUUGUGCCGGCGUGAAGCGUCCAGGUCUCGCAGCCGUAGAUUAGGAUGGAGACUACGAGGGACUUAAAAGGCCUGAAGCUUAUGGAACUGCUUGUCCACAACCUGCCCAGUCUGGUAAUAAAUGCUGUCGCCAUGGCAAUUCUUAUUCGGACCUAGGCCGUAAUGGUACCAUCCUUGGACAGGUUUGCGCCAAAUUACUUGAAGCUGGUCACUUUUUCUAGCUUCUUGCCGUUCAUGCUGAUAUCUGCACUGUUGUUGGUCGUGCUGAUUGGAGAUGGGUAUUCCAACGAUGGAGAUAGAGCUGUGGGGGUCAUUGAGGGUCUCCUGCAUUAUAUUUUCAAUAAAAAUGUUGAACAGGACGGGAAAGAGCAGACAUCCCUGACGGACGCCCACUGAUGUCCUGAAGAAGUCCCCCUGCUGUCCGUUGAAAAUUAUUGCAAAGAUGGCGUAUCCGUAGAGUUCUUGAAUGACUUGUACCAGACCUUCGUCAAUGUUAAAUCAUCUCAUAACAUGCCAUAGGCCAUCAUGCAGUUGUGGAAGAAGUCACGUUGGUGUUGCAGGUGUUUCUCAAUGAUGAUUCUCCAGUUUAAUCCAGCGCCAGCAGUUCCUCGGCCUUACUUUUCAAUCGAUUAAGGAUGAUGCGUAGCACAAAUUUGCUUGGAUGACUGAUUAGACUGCGGUUAUUCUCACACAACUUGAGGGUGUCCUUUUUGGUAGGGGUAUGACAAGGGGGACUGGGUCCACUCUUUGGGAAACUUCUUUUCAUCCCAGAUAUUUUGGCAUAUUGCCGCAAAUGCUACAGUUGUUGUCUCUCCACCGUGCUUAAUCAGCUCAGAAGGGACGUUGUCCACUCCCGGAUAUUGUCCUGCCUUAACACAGGCACUGCCUUCUCCACCUUAAGUAUGGACGGACUUUCGUCGUCCGCUUUUGAUCUGGGAUCGUUCUGAAGGAGACUGGAGUCCGAUUGAGGCGGAUAGUUGUAGAGGUCACUGAAGUAUUCACCUAAUCUGUUUAGGGCUGUGGCACCCCCGGUACGGAGAUUCCCGUCAGCGUCUGAUAUAACACUGGCCUUGGGCUGACUGGUCUUCGUGAGGGUCUUCAGGGUGCUGUAGACCUUCUUACUGCUGCCUGUGGUCAUCUCUUUGUAAAUGAUUAUACAUUGCUUAUCAUUCCUUUCAUCCUUGGCCUCUUUUAUCUUCUUCCUUACCUCCCAUAUAUAUAUGGAAAAUAUUAUAUAUUUGCAUAAUUGUGGGACGUUUCUACGCGCAGAAUUUACCCGGAUGUUACGAACUUAUGACGUAACGUCCAGACGACGUAUUUGACGUCACAUGUUUAUAGCUUAUGCUUACAAACGACAUCACAGCUCUGAUCUCCUUCGAUUAUGGUUCAAGAAAGAUACACAAACGAAUGUCUGACUCUGCAGAUCUCAGUGUCUGACCGCAAUCGGCGGCACGUGGUGACGUUAAUGGAAGGUAGCGAAACCAGGUGGUUCGCACAACGCCCAGAGGAGACCUCCGCGACGUUCUCAAUGAGAGGCGCGCGCGGAGCGGAAGUUCCUUUGGAGAUGAUACCCUUCAUUCUACGACUGAAUGUUGCGUUGGCAAGACUGGGGACUUGCGCCAGAGUCUCAUUACGAUGCGCGCGCAGUUAAAGUCUCAGUCAACCCACAUCCGGUUUUUGCAACUUGUCUGAUACUAUCAGCUGAGGCAAAAGCUGGGCGGUGUGGGGUUGGGAAGUGGCUCUUCCAUUCUGUCCUAUCUGCCUUCUCUCGUGCCUGUUUCCGCUCUCUCGCCUGAAGUCAUGGCACCGAUUGCUUCCACGCGUUUCUCAGACAAAGCGUCGAAGGAGGAGCCUGCUCUCGCUAACGGUAGGAGUGGGCGGAAGCGUCACUAUAGCUCCCCCUCUGACGACGGAGCACCGGAAGUAGUGGUAGACACCGCAGAUGAACCCCCUGCGAAGCGAGCCCGCCUCCAGGAGCUGUCACCAGUUUCAGCUCGUGUCCGCGGUGUAUUGAUUGAUUACUUUCACUGGAGGUCUAACCCCUACGUUUGGCAGAGAGAAGGCUAUAGAUGUGAACAGAGGAAGUCGAUCACGUGGGGCCGGGUCCCCUACACGUGGCGGAAGGAUCCGACCCCUGUUAGGCCCGCCACGUGUUACACAUGGAAGAGGCCGGACCCUUAGAGGGCGGCGAAUGCGCGUUGCACAUGUCGGCAUCAUUCGGUAUUCACAAAUCUCAUUGAAACUGUGAAAUAUUUUAAUUGAUGGGUAAAAUAACAUUAACUUAUAUUAGAAAUGAUCAAUUAUUAAGACUACAAAUGAAACAUAUUUUGGAACAGAGACGUUUAUUGAAAUAACUGUAAUGAAAUAUUGUUAAAUAGAUAUUUGUGAACACCGAAAACACCCCUGUCAUCCAUAUAAUACAAUAAAGGGAUGGCAAUGCGAUAACGGAGAAAAACAAAAGCCACGACAAAAACGAGAAUAUUUCAUGAAAAAUCAUCAUUAACUGGAUGCUGAGUACACAUGCAAACAAAAUUGUAAUGCUCGCAAAAGAACUUAUAUGAAAUAUUCCAAUAUUCUAUCAAUAUGUCUAUUAAUUCUACUAACGCGUAGUUAACUAACGUUUUUAAGGUUGUUCAAAUGAUAAAAUUGUAAGGUGUCACCUUUUCAUAUACACUACUUUAAAAGUGUGUUCAAUGUGUUGAAAGACUCCGUUAUCAGACGUGUCCUUUAUUGUGAACCCAAGUGUUUGCAUGAAUACUACUCAUUAAAACAUGCUAUUUAUUCAUAUUUCAUUCAACACAUUUAUUUUUUUAUUUUUAGCACACUAAAUCAUCUACAUGUUGGCCUAGCAAACAAAUUCUUGCAAUAUUCCAAGUACUUUAUUUUGUUGAACUGUGUACUGAUAAUCCAGGUCAUGCAUUUUUCCGACGGAAUUUUCUCAUUUUGUUUUUGCAAAAAUAUACCAUUCUUCCGUGAUUUUUUUUCCACAAUUCAUCGGCUAUACCAUUUACCAAUUCCACCAUGCCCCAUAUCUCAAAGUUUUAUGUUUAGAAUAUACAUUUAAAGAAAACUGAGGGACUCACCUCUUACGCAUGGCUUCUGUUUAUUUCUGUUAGCAAAGUGCCAUCUGUAUAUUGAAUGAAAUUGAUGACCAGUGUAGAUAAGUCCGAUAUACAUUUGCAUUUCAGUUAAUACCUUUAUAAACCAGUAUAACAGUAUUGUAUUGUAUUGAUCUACUAAAUACAUAGUUUAUUCUACAUCCAUUACCAGUAGGUAGACUAUGUAGGAAUCACAGUGUUCGUCUUUCUGUCCAUAAUCUUUUCCACCGUGCCUUCCACUGCAUAAAUAUAAUAAUAGUCACUCACAAUGAUCACAACUUAACCAUACAGAUUAAAGUUCAAAUACAAAAAUUGAUUGUGAAAAAAUGGGUUGUCCAAUCUCUAAUUUCCACUUGCAUUAAAGGAUAGCGUGGAAAUUUAUAACCAAGUGUUCUUGCAUAUGAUAUGGGUGUGUACCGUGGAAGAACAGAAUGGUUACUUUCUUGGUAUAUUUAUACUAACAAUAGUCAAAAAGUUGAAAUGUCAACUACAAAAUAUGGCUUGUCCGCUAAAUUUAUUAUUCAAGCAUUAAAAAUUUUGAGAUAACUUUGAGUUAAUGUUACACAUCUUGUAUAUCAUUUAUGCUCAACAAAUCAUUAAUUGGAAUUCCUUGAACAUUUCUCAAGAUUAUGAUUUCUCAUAAAUAGUCGAUGGUUCUUAUUUAUAUAAUAUAUGAUUGUAUGUCUAAGGCAAGGGUCACAUUUCACGUUCGUAAGAACGUGUAAUCUCAUACGCUUGCAUGUUCAUGUUAAAUGUCACAUUAUAAAAUUAAAUUAAAGAAUAUAAUUAAAAUAGUUUUUCUUAAAUUCCUUUUGCUUAGAAGAUUUUUGAAUCUCUUGGUAAAAAUUAUGGCUCGGUCAAGGUCACAUUAAAAUAAAGCAGCGUGUGGGGGUAAGAGUUAAUGAUAUAUUUAGUAACGGCUUCUGUAACAGAAGUAGUUUAGAAGGAUACUUAAAUUAGUUCGAUAGUAAGUUUGAUUUAGCUGAGGAUUUAGUCACAUAAGUUAGGUUUUCCAUUAUUUUGUUAGUUCUUUGUACAUUUUAUGAUUCCAAUAAAUUUUGUCGAAUGCCCAAUACAUGUUGUUAUUUCUGUAAGUGCAAUAAAUCGUCUUUGUUACUUGUAAACACUGCUUUUGCUUCAUAUCUCUUCUGAUUUUUAAUAACCGCCGUAAAUAAGCUUAGAGCUUGUUUAAAAAGAAACCUUAAGAAGACUAACACCACUACUCUUGCCCAAGAAAAAAACAAACCUGUACGAAGAACUAAAAUAAAUAUUAUUUUACAGUCAAUGACAAUAUUGAAGAAUUCUAUAAACAAGUGAAAAAACGGACGUAGUGCAAACUGAACUGUCAAUGCAUGCAUAUUUAUAACUCGUUUUACGUAUAACUAAUCUCUUAUGUAUGGAAAGCCAAAGGGGACCCCCGCUAAAAUACAUAUACUUAUAUAGUAAAUAUCGGGAUUGUCAUUUUUCGCGGAACUUUCACUUUCCGCGAAAAACCAAUGCCAGCAUGGCCAUAAUACACUACAUACAAAUCGAAAUCUAAAAAGCGCGGAACUUUCAUAUAUUUUCCGUCGGAGCAAUUAUUUUUCAACCCUGUAGAAAAAGCGGGCUCAAUUAAUCGCGCGGAACGUUAUUUAUCUACUCUGUACAAAUAGUAGUGUUUAAAAUCGCGCGGAGAUUGUAGAAUGCUAUUUUAAGAAGUCUAUUAAAGAGAGAAAAUCCAGUAAAUACCAGAUCCAAAAAGCGCGGAACACAAAUAUCGUCCGCGAAAAUUAAGCAUUGAAUUACUGUACAAAUCUCGGGUUGUUAGGUGUUAGAAUCCCUAGUUACCCGAAAAAUUUGAUUGGAUCCGAUACUUAGAAAUAACCAAUCAGAUACUUUGUAACAAAUGCAACACAAUCAGUGCGUUCAGUAAGUAUAACGUUUCAAGAUGGCGGAGCGAAUUGCAUGGUUAUUGUUUCUACUCGAUGGAUUCGCAGAUAAUUCGGAAAUAGAUCAGAUUGGGAUCAAUAACUGUAUUGCAUACGAUCAUUUACAUGUAUUACCAGGUUUGUAUUUGUACUUUUUUAAUAUUGUGUAAAACUAUCCGAUAAUAUGCAUAAUGUUGACAAUUGUUAAUUAAAUGAGCCGCGUUCUGAGAAAACUGGGCUUAAUGCAUGUGCGUAAAGUGUCAUCGCAGAUUAGCCUGUGCAGUCCGCACAUGCUAAUCAGGGAUUAUACUUUCCGCUUUUAUGGUAUUUUUAAUUUCAAGGAAGUCCCUCCUUACCGAAAAUGAAGUUUAUGCGGAAAGUGUCGUCCCUGAUUAGCCUGUGCGGACUGCACAGGCUUAAGCUAAUCUGGGAUGGGCGAUUAAAAUCGCGCGGAGAUUGGGCGAUUAAUCAAUUAUUUUAUUUAUUGAUAGAUCUUGCGUUUAAAUUCCCCUGUAUUCAGCACAAACCCAUAACCUCUUUAUGAUCAGAUACUGUGCAGACAAAUACUAAAUAACAACGUGAUGUCAUAAACCACAUUUUGUAGAUAUCUGGUCAUCUGGUCAUUUAACACAAUUAAUGACACCUCCAUGUGACCAUGGCGUCUCAUGGUUGUAGCAUUGCGUAGCUGUUUCUUGGAAUAAUUUAACGCCAAAUACUCAAUUGUUGCUUUUACUGAACAUAAAAGAUAUUGUCAACAUUGAAAGUCAUCUGUCCAAAAAGAUUGUCAGAAACUAAAUACUGUAUACAUAUUAGCCAGUUUUAUCAUAAUUAUAAAGUGCUUUAUACCUAUAUAUUUUUAAUAUUUCAAAAAUUUAAUGCUAAACAUUUGUGUCAUUUUCUUCUAUUUGAUAGGACUUUGUCUGAUGCUUGAUUCAACUCUUACACGUUCUAUAAUUCAUGAAAUUGUACACAUCCUACCUUUGAAAAUUGUAGUCUUACAAUACUUAGUAUUGUAUACUGCUAAUUUAUGACUUCGAUUUGUGCAAUAAUCGAUGUUUAGUCUUCAGACCACAUUUACUCUGAUGCUUAUGGGUAACUGGAAAUUGUAUGCCCCUGGAAGGGUGGCAUAUAGCAGUUGAACUGUCCGUCAGUCAGUCAGGAUGUCAGUCUGUCCGUCUGUCCGAAAAAAAAUUAACGCUGGCCAUUACUUUUGCAACAUUGAAGAUAGCAACUUGAUAUUUGGCAUGCAUGUGUAUCUCAUGAAGCUGCACAUUUUGAGUGGUGGAAGUUCAAGGUCAAGGUCGUCCUUCAAGGUCAAAGGUUAAAAAAAUAUAUGUAGAAUUAAAAGCGGCGCAGUAGUGGGCAUUGUGUUUCUGAUGAACACAUCUAUUGUUAUAUAUAAAGAUUAAAUAUAAUUCAUUAAUAUACACUAAUAGUACAUAACUUAUGUCCUUGAAUCAUUAUUUAGGUGUUAUAAUUUUUAUAUUUGAAUUACUUAUCAAUUUUUUUACUUAACACAGCAUGACAUGUGAUGGUUGUCUGUAUUCAUAUGUUUGACUUAAUUGUAACCAGUGUCAAGUGCGCAUUAUAAUCUUGAUAUUCAACGCAAUUUGCAUAGCAAAAGAAAAUGCAGUUCCACGUUCAGCCUUGUUCUGCAAUUCAACGCGUCAGGUGAUAUGAUUGAUAUCUAUAAAUAGUAUCGGUGUUCAUAUUGUGAAACUGGUCUAUUAUUCGAUACUGAUUAAUUUGAUGAAUCAAGUUAAUUUUUGUUAAAUACAUCUGUUAAAUAUUUAUGCCCCCCUCCGAAGAAGAGCAGGAUUAUUGUUUUGCACAUGUCGGUCCGAAUGUCCAUAUGUCUGUCCACCAGAUGGUUUCCGGAUGAUAACCCAAGAACGAUUUUGCCUAGGAUCAUGAAACUUCAUAGGUACAUUGAUCAUGACUCGAAGAUGACCCCUAUUGAUUUUCAGGUCACAAGGUCAAGGUCACAGUGACCCUAAAUAGUAAAAUGGUUUCCCGAUGAUAACUCAAGAACGUUUAUGCCUAGGAUCAUGAAACUUCAUAGGUACAUUGAUCAUGACUCGCAGAUGACCCCUAUUGAUUUUGAGGUCACUAAGUCGAAGGUCAAGGUCACGGUGACCCAAAAUAGUAAAAUGGUUUCCGGAUGAUAACUCAAGAACUUAUGCCUAGGAUCAUGAAACUUCAUAGGUACAUAGAUAAUGACUCGCAGAUGACCCCUAUUGACUUUCAGGUCACUAGGUCAAAGGUCAAGGUCACAGUGCCAAAAAACGUAUUCACACAAUGGCUGCCACAGCAAUUGACAAUCCAUAUGGGCGGCAUGCAUGUUUUACAAACAGCCCUUGUUUGAAAUUUAUUUUAUGACAUUAAAGUAAUGUAUAGGGAAUUUAGUUACCUACACAUUCUUUGAAAAGAAAUUUGAAUUGUAAAUGUAUACUUCAUUUAUUUUGUAGGAAUUCUGUACAACUGUGGAACCAUGUAUGGUACGUGACCGCACAAUGUUGGUUGGCAAAAGGAUAUUGGAAUAAGCAAAGGGACUCAACAUUACACAGUCAUUUCAACAUGUAGAGUCUUGUCAGCAAUGAUGGAGCAGUACUUCAGAUUUCCAGAAUCUCGUCAUGAGCUGAAGAUCAUUGCCUAUGAAUUUCCUGAAUGAUGUAGAAUGAUUGGACUGUUGAUGGAACCCACAGUGCAUGUCCUGCUUCAACAUCUGAGCAUAGGUCCUUGUUUAUCAGCAGUUUAGUUCUUCAAGCAGUCUGUGACAGUUACUUGAAAUGUUUGGACAUAUGACCUGGAUGGCCAAGUUCUGUGCAUGAUGCCCAUUUAAAUAGGAACGGCCCAGUGGCGCAUUAAAUGGACAUGUUUCGAAUGUUCUCAAGGAUUCAGCUUACCGCCUGACAAGAAAUCUUGCUUUUUGUUUAGUAUCGAGGCCAUGGACAUUUGUAUCAUUUGCAAAAGAUACUGCGAUAUUUGUGCCUUUGUUCAUGCUUUAUAGUUGAUUAACAAUUGGAAGCCAUAACCUGUUUUUAAGAUGGUGUUAGUGGGACAAUGAAUUUUGUAAAGAUUUAAAGACUGGAAAAGAUAAUUAAAAGUCAAAAGAGUUCUGCUAUUGUUAAGCAUGCUUUAUUGAUUUGUAAUGUUAGAAAGAUAGCAUUAUUAACAGAAUAAAAUGUCCAUAAUUUGAA